This is a long non-coding RNA of Symphalangus syndactylus (siamang), 1209 nucleotides long. RefSeq lists it as uncharacterized. The record is from RefSeq and is a predicted model, not a curated record. NCBI's taxonomy places the organism in Eukaryota, Metazoa, Chordata, Mammalia, Primates, Hylobatidae.
AUCAUUCCCAGAGAUGCACGUUGGGGCUAACCAAGGGGUCACCCCAGCAGCUUAUGUGCAAAGGCAAAUGAAUCCACUGUAGUUUAGUGAUUUCUGAGUAGAACAGCAGUUCCUUUGCAACAGCAAAGGAAGAAGGGUCAUGAGAAGAAACGGCCAAGAUAUACCAAAGAGGGCUGGAGAAAUGGCAGGAAGCAAGAAAGAGAGCAAGGGGAACAUUGAUGGAACAAGAAAGGAAUUUUGGUGGUGACUCAGGCCUGUCCAAUCUGGGGCCCCAAGAGCAUUAAGUGGUUGAGAAGCAAGGUCAGCUGCUUGGGUCCUGAUCUUCCCACUCCGAAUUCCCAUUGAUUCACCAGGGAUACGCGUCGAAAUACCGAUUCCUGAGCUCCAAACCUGCUACACCAGACACAUUUUGAAGAGCAAAGAUUUUGAAGAUCAAAGAUCUUUCAGCUCCAAUCCUGAAGAUACAGUGGUGGAGCAUAGAAACUCACCAGGGUCUUAGUCCAUCCUUCCUUGGAGUGGCUAAUUGACAGCUCUUACCAAUGAGAUGGAAGUAAAAAUCUGUUGGAGAGUUUUUGAAAACUUUGCUUUCAUCAUUAAAGAAGACAUACAUCUUUCCUUUUGUGGACGCAGCCCUGAUCAUUGGAGCUUCAGCAGCUAUCUAGUAAUAAUGAGAGAAAGGCCAAGCCCAGGGAAUUACAGAGACAUUGGCCCUGCCAUUAUUGAGUAACUGAACCAACUCCAGCAACUACCCAAGAAACUUCCUGUUGUGAGAGAAUAAGCAAACUCAUAUCUAUUCUAACCCCUGUAUUUAGCUUCUCUGUUACUUGCAGCUGAAUAAAUACAGCAUUUAAAAAAAUUACCUAACGUAAUCAUAAAUGCUUCAUCCCACAGAGACGACGUGUAGGUCUGACAAUAGUGGGAAUAAAUACUGAUAAUAUUUUAAUUGAUAAUGACUUGAUUCUAUUAUUUAAUACUUUUUAGACUAAUAGAUAAUUUUUAGAUAUUAAUGGAAAAACCUCUACUUGAGUCAAAGCAGUAACUUUAAAGAACCAGAAAUAAAUUGUUGGCUAAUGCAGGCUGGUCUAGGAAACGUUGCCAAGUAUUUAAAAAGGAAAAAAUCUCCCGCUUUUAUGUUUAACCCAACCACUACUUGUCCAUAAAAACCUUAUUUUUAUAAUAAAAUAUAUUUUUCUGCCUUUGUUUACACUA